UGGAUGUCAAAACCCUGCAGCGAAACAGAGAAACUGACAGACAAGACUUUGAAGAUUUCAGAGAUCAUGUUGCCACAAAUUUUCAAACCUUGCAGAAAACCUUGGGCGAACUACAGGGCUCUUUGAACAACUUCAUCGCAGGUUUUCCCAAACCCAGGGAAACUCCUCCCAACCCCCAAGAUGUUGCACAAGGUAGUGGCCAACAGCAAACACCCCAAGGUCCAACUCACGCACCAGCCACGGUCCUCCAAACUCCUCCUACAGUUGGAUCUGCCACAUUAGUG
RNAcentral lists this long non-coding RNA (284 nucleotides) under Triticum aestivum (bread wheat). Its description in RNAcentral is "long non-coding RNA (TAES_LNC016153)". The record is from RNAcentral. Lineage: Eukaryota; Viridiplantae; Streptophyta; Magnoliopsida; Poales; Poaceae.